RNAcentral lists this unclassified non-coding RNA (379 nucleotides) under uncultured Gammaproteobacteria bacterium. RNAcentral describes it as "contains 16S-23S intergenic spacer region". The record is from RNAcentral. Lineage: Bacteria; Pseudomonadati; Pseudomonadota; Gammaproteobacteria.
UCCGGUUUGUCACCGGCAGUCUCGCUAAAGUGCCCAACUAAAUGAUGGCAAUUAACGACAAGGGUUGCGCUCGUUGCGGGACUUAACCCAACAUCUCACGACACGAGCUGACGACAGCCAUGCAGCACCUGUGUUCUGGCUCUCUUUCGAGCACAUCCACCUCUCAGCAGACUUCCAGACAUGUCAAGGGUAGGUAAGGUUUUUCGCGUUGCAUCGAAUUAAUCCACAUCAUCCACCGCUUGUGCGGGUCCCCGUCAAUUCCUUUGAGUUUUAAUCUUGCGACCGUACUCCCCAGGCGGUCAACUUCACGCGUUAGCUGCGGUACUAAAGAAGUCUCCUUCCCCAACACCUAGUUGACAUCGUUUAGGGCGUGGACUAC